RNAcentral lists this ribosomal RNA (427 nucleotides) under uncultured bacterium. RNAcentral's name for it is "partial 16S ribosomal RNA". It matches the Rfam family "Bacterial small subunit ribosomal RNA", at positions 355 to 774 of the family's 1533-position model. The record is from RNAcentral.
UGGGGAAUAUUGCACAAUGGGCGCAAGCCUGAUGCAGCCAUGCCGCGUGUGUGAAGAAGGCCUUUGGGUUGUAAAGCACUUUCAGCGAGGAGGAAGGGUAGUGUGUUAAUAGCACAUUGCAUUGACGUUACUCGCAGAAGAAGCACCGGCUAACUCCGUGCCAGCAGCCGCGGUAAUACGGAGGGUGCAAGCGUUAAUCGGAAUUACUGGGCGUAAAGCGCACGCAGGCGGUUUGUUAAGUCAGAUGUGAAAUCCCCGCGCUUAACGUGGGAACUGCAUUUGAAACUGGCAAGCUAGAGUCUUGUAGAGGGGGGUAGAAUUCCAGGUGUAGCGGUGAAAUGCGUAGAGAUCUGGAGGAAUACCGGUGGCGAAGGCGGUCCCCUGGACAAAGACUGACGCUCAGGUGCGAAAGCGUGGGGAGCAAACA